Molecule: non-coding RNA, 45 nt
Filed under: Schistosoma mansoni
Lineage: Eukaryota; Metazoa; Platyhelminthes; Trematoda; Strigeidida; Schistosomatidae
Source: RNAcentral
ACCCAGUUGACGAGUCCUAAAUGGGACGAAACGUGCAUCCUGGAU